CCGCCUUGCGGCGUGGUGAGAGGUG
This 25-nucleotide non-coding RNA is filed under the name Cricetulus griseus (Chinese hamster). Lineage: Eukaryota; Metazoa; Chordata; Mammalia; Rodentia; Cricetidae. The record is from RNAcentral.